GUGCUCACUUUGGAAGCAUGUAUACUAAAAUUAUACGAUGAUGAGAUUAGCAUGGUCGCCGCACAACAAUGACAUGUACAUUUGUGAAGCACUUCAUAUUUUU
This 103-nucleotide small nuclear RNA is filed under the name Carlito syrichta (Philippine tarsier). The record is from RNAcentral. Lineage: Eukaryota; Metazoa; Chordata; Mammalia; Primates; Tarsiidae.